This 433-nucleotide ribosomal RNA is filed under the name uncultured bacterium. Its description in RNAcentral is "partial 16S ribosomal RNA". It matches the Rfam family "Bacterial small subunit ribosomal RNA", at positions 29 to 507 of the family's 1533-position model. The record is from RNAcentral.
AACGAACGCUGGCGGCAUGCCUAACACAUGCAAGUCGAACGAGACCUUCGGGUCUAGUGGCGCACGGGUGCGUAACGCGUGGGAACCUGCCCUUAGGUUCGGAAUAACUCCCCGAAAGGGGUGCUAAUACCGGAUAAUGUCUUCGGACCAAAGAUUUAUCGCCUUUGGAUGGGCACGCGUUGGAUUAGCUAGUUGGUAGGGUAAAAGCCUACUAAGGCGACGAUCCAUAGCUGGUCUGAGAGGAUGAUCAGCCACACUGGGACUGAGACACGGCCCAGACUCCUACGGGAGGCAGCAGUGGGGAAUAUUGGACAAUGGGCGAAAGCCUGAUCCAGCAAUGCCGCGUGAGUGAUGAAGGCCUUAGGGUUGUAAAGCUCUUUUACCCGGGAUGAUAAUGACAGUACCGGGAGAAUAAGCUCCGGCUAACUCCGUG